Molecule: unclassified non-coding RNA, 395 nt
Filed under: soil metagenome
Description: partial contains 5.8S ribosomal RNA, internal transcribed spacer 2, and large subunit ribosomal RNA
Rfam family: 5.8S ribosomal RNA (bases 1-122)
Source: RNAcentral
GAUGAAGAACGUAGCGAAAUGCGAUACUUGGUGUGAAUUGCAGAAUCCCGUGAACCAUCGAGUCUUUGAACGCAAGUUGCGCCCGAAGCCAUCAGGUUGAGGGCACGUCUGCCUGGGCGUCACAUAUCGUUGCCCAAUGCCUAUUGCAGUGCAAUAGGAAUUUCUAGGGCGAAUGAUGGCUUCCCGUGAGCGUUGUUGCCUCGCGGUUGGUUGAAAAUCGAGACCUUGGUAGGGUGUGCCAUGGUAGAUGGUGGUCGAGUUAGAACGAUACCGAUCAUGUGCAUGCUCCCCAAAAUAUGGCCUCUAUGACCCACACGCGUCUUUUGACGCUCAUGACGAGACCUCAGGUCAGGCGGGGCUACCCGCUGAAUUUAAGCAUAUCAAUAAGCGGAGGA